GACAUAUCUCAAGGGCAAUCUGAUUACCCUGUAGAUGAUCUCAGCACAGCCCGAGGUUCUGAUGUAUCCACAGAAGCACCUGGCCCCUACUGAUAUCUACUUAGGUAGGACCUGGAACAUCUUCUCCUCGCAAAUCUACACUCCAAAAAUCAGAUCUCUAUCUAAUUUGGAAGUGCUUCAGAACUCCUUCUGAAGUUGGAGCAGCAGCCUAUCGAAGAUGUCCUGCAGUCUUCCUGUUCCAGGCAUCACCACGCCUUGGACCUUUGCCAGAUGGAUGUCCAACUCCUUGGACAUGAAGAGAGG
RNAcentral lists this long non-coding RNA (303 nucleotides) under Elaeis guineensis (African oil palm). RNAcentral describes it as "long non-coding RNA (EGUI_LNC033555)". The record is from RNAcentral. Lineage: Eukaryota; Viridiplantae; Streptophyta; Magnoliopsida; Arecales; Arecaceae.